UACGUAGGGUCCGAGCGUUGUCCGGAUUUAUUGGGCGUAAAGAGCUCGUAGGCGGCUCAGUAAGUCAGAUGUGAAAACUCAGGGCUCAACCCGGAGACGCCAUCUGAUACUGCUGUGGCUUGAGUCUGGUAGGGGAUCACGGAAUUCCUGGUGUAGCGGUGAAAUGCGCAGAUAUCAGGAGGAACACCGGUGGCGAAGGCGGGUCUCUGGGCCGAUACUGACGCUGAGGAGCGAAAGCGUGGGGAGCGAACAGG
This 254-nucleotide ribosomal RNA is filed under the name uncultured bacterium. Its description in RNAcentral is "partial 16S ribosomal RNA". It matches the Rfam family "Bacterial small subunit ribosomal RNA", at positions 524 to 776 of the family's 1533-position model. The record is from RNAcentral.